RNAcentral lists this ribosomal RNA (460 nucleotides) under uncultured bacterium. Its description in RNAcentral is "partial 16S ribosomal RNA". It matches the Rfam family "Bacterial small subunit ribosomal RNA", at positions 338 to 795 of the family's 1533-position model. The record is from RNAcentral.
CCUACGGUGGGCAGCAGUGAGGAAUAUUGGUCAAUGGGCGCGAGCCUGAACCAGCCAAGUCGCGUGAGGGAGGACGGCCCUACGGGUUGUAAACCUCUUUUGCCGGGGAGCAACGGGCGCCACGUGUGGCGUCACUGAGAGUACCCGGAGAAAACGCAUCGGCUAACUCCGUGCCAGCAGCCGCGGUACUACGGGGGAUGCUAGCGUUAUCCGGAUUUAUUGGGUUUAAAGGGUGCGUAGGCGGAUCGUUAAGUCAGUGGUCAAAUUGAGGGGCUCAACCCCUUCCCGCCAUUGAAACUGGCGUUCGUGAGUGGAAGAGAAGUAUGCGGAAUGCGUGGUGGAGCGGUGAAAUGCAGAGAUAUCACGCAGAACCCCGAUUGCGAAGGCAGUAUGCCGGCUUCCGACUGACGCUGAAGCACGAAAGCGUGGGGAUCGAACAGGAUUAGAUACCCGGGUAGUC